GACGACGGCUGGCGGCGUGGAUUAGGCAUGCAAGUCGAACGGUAUCAUCCUUUCGGGGGUGAGAGAGUGGCGAACUGGUGAGUAACACGUAGGUUAUCUACCCUCAAGACGGGGACAACCCAGGGAAACUUGGGCUAAUACCGGAUGUGAGCAACUUUUAGUUGUUUGAAAGGUGGCGUAAGCUGUCGCUUGGGGAUGAGCCUGCGUCCUAUUAGUUAGUUGGUGAGGUAACGGCUCACCUAGGCAAUGAUAGGUAGGCGGCCUUAACGGGUGGUCGCCCACACUGGGAUUGAGAUACGGCCCAGACUCCUACGGGAGGCAGCAGUCGAGAAUAGUCUACAAUGGUCGGAAGACUGAUAGUGCGACGCCGCGUGAACGAUGAAUCCCUUCGGGGUGUAAAGUUCUUUUAUAUGUGAGCAGUGCUUCUUAUAUUAACAGUAUGGGGAGAGAGAUAUUAGCAUAUGAAUAAGCAACGGCUAACUCCGUG
This 487-nucleotide ribosomal RNA is filed under the name uncultured bacterium. Its description in RNAcentral is "bacterial SSU rRNA". It matches the Rfam family "Bacterial small subunit ribosomal RNA", at positions 28 to 507 of the family's 1533-position model. The record is from RNAcentral.